Molecule: ribosomal RNA, 692 nt
Filed under: Ornithodoros porcinus
Lineage: Eukaryota; Metazoa; Arthropoda; Arachnida; Ixodida; Argasidae
Description: 12S ribosomal RNA
Source: RNAcentral
AAAUAUUUAUAUAGUAAAUAAUAUUUGCAUUUUAAGCUCUUUAUGUUAAAAGUAAAUAAAUUAAAAAUAGAAGAUAUAUUUAUUUGUUUUGUAGUCCAAAAAUAGGUUUGAAAUUAUCUCAGGCGAAGCCUGUGCCAGCCGCCGCGGUUACACAGGCUGGGUAAAAAUAUUUGUGUUAUGAUAAUAAAAUUUUAUUAUAUUGUUUUUUUUUACUUAGGUGAAAUUUUUAUAUGAAUUUGUGAUUUUGUUUUGAAGAAAUUUUUGAUUUAAAUUAGGAUUAGAUACCCUAUUAUUCAGUAAUUUAAAAUUGGUAGUAUUUUUAGGUUCUUUAAAUCUAAAGAUUAUGGCGGUAUUUUAAGCUAUUUAGAGGAAUUUGUUCUUUAAUGGAUAAAACUCAAAGAUCUUACUUGGGUUGGUUAAGCAGUUUGUAUAUCGCUAUCAUAGAAUAAUGUUGAUUGAUUAAUAAUUAAGAUUAUCUUUAGUAAAAAUGUUAGGUCAAAAUGCAGCAAAAAUUUAAGGUUGAAAUAAAUUACUUUUAUUUGUAUAUGGUUUUUUGAAAUUAAGUUUAGGAUUUAAGAGUAAAUUGAAAUUAUAAUGUUUGGUUGAAUUUAGCUCUAAAAUAUGCACAUAUCGCCCGUCACUCUCAGUGAUGAGAUAAGUCGUAACAAAGUAAAAGUACCGGAAGGUGUUUU